This 534-nucleotide unclassified non-coding RNA is filed under the name Hevea brasiliensis (rubber tree). The record is from RNAcentral. Lineage: Eukaryota; Viridiplantae; Streptophyta; Magnoliopsida; Malpighiales; Euphorbiaceae.
UUCUGUCCAGGAGGAGAUCUGCACUCUCUUCGGCAGAGGCAGCCGGGGAAAUAUUUUUCUGAACAAGCUGUCAAGUUUUAUGUCGCUGAAGUACUCCUUGCGAUGGAAUACCUUCACAUGCUCGGAAUUAUAUAUCGUGACCUCAAGCCGGAGAACGUCCUUGUCAGAGAAGAUGGCCACAUUAUGCUCUCGGAUUUCGACCUGUCGCUCCAGUGCACUGUAAGCCCGACUUUCAUCCGAUUAUCGAACUCAGAAGCUAGUUCCCUUGGAAGGAACAACACUGGUUACUGCAUCCAGCCCACCUGCAUCGAACCGUCCUGCAUCCAGCCUUCUUGUGUUGUCUCCACAACAUGCUUUUCCCCUCGCUUUUUCUCGUCAAAGUCGAAAAAGGACCGCAAGCCGAAGCCCGAGAUUGGAAACCAGGUCACCCCCUUACCCGAGCUCAUCGCAGAGCCGACUGACGCUCGCUCAAUGUCUUUUGUUGGCACCCAUGAGUACCUCGCCCCAGAGAUAAUCAGCGGUAAGGGGCAUGGG